Molecule: ribosomal RNA, 465 nt
Filed under: uncultured bacterium
Lineage: Bacteria
Description: bacterial SSU rRNA
Rfam family: Bacterial small subunit ribosomal RNA
Source: RNAcentral
CCAGACUCCUACGGGAGGCAGCAGUGAGGAAUAUUGGUCAAUGGCCGCAGGGCUGAACCAGCCAAGUCGCGUGAGGGAUGACGGUCCUAUGGAUUGUAAACCUCUUUUGUCAGGGAGCAAAGGGCGCCACGUGUGGCGUUUUGCGAGUACCUGAAGAAAAAGCAUCGGCUAACUCCGUGCCAGCAGCCGCGGUAAUACGGAGGAUGCGAGCGUUAUCCGGAUUUAUUGGGUUUAAAGGGUGCGUAGGCGGAAUAUCAAGUCAGCGGUAAAAAUUCGGGGCUCAACCCCGUCGUGCCGUUGAAACUGAUGUUCUUGAGUGGGCGAGAAGUAUGCGGAAUGCGUGGUGUAGCGGUGAAAUGCAUAGAUAUCACGCAGAACUCCGAUUGCGAAGGCAGCAUACCGGCGCCCAACUGACGCUGAAGCACGAAAGCGUGGGUAUCGAACAGGAUUAGAUACCCCGGUACA